AUUGAACGCUGGCGGCAGGCCUAACACAUGCAAGUCGAGCGGAUGAAGGGAGCUUGCUCCUGGAUUCAGCGGCGGACGGGUGAGUAAUGCCUAGGAAUCUGCCUGGUAGUGGGGGAUAACGUCCGGAAACGGGCGCUAAUACCGCAUACGUCCUGAGGGAGAAAGUGGGGGGUCUUCGGACCUCACGCUAUCAGAUGAGCCUAGGUCGGAUUAGCUAGUUGGUGGGGUAAAGGCCUACCAAGGCGACGAUCCGUAACUGGUCUGAGAGGAUGGUCAGUCACACUGGAACUGAGACACGGUCCAGACUCCUGCGGGAGGCAGCAGUGGGGAAUAUUGGACAAUGGGCGAAAGCCUUAUCCAGCCAUGCCGCGUGUGUGAAGAAGGUCUUCGGAUUGUAAAGCACUUUAAGUUGGGAGGAAGGGCAGUAAGUUAAUACCUUGCUGUUUUGACGUUACCAACAGAAUAAGCACCGGCUAACUUCGUG
This 484-nucleotide ribosomal RNA is filed under the name uncultured bacterium. RNAcentral describes it as "partial 16S ribosomal RNA". It matches the Rfam family "Bacterial small subunit ribosomal RNA", at positions 30 to 507 of the family's 1533-position model. The record is from RNAcentral.